AGCUUUCUAAGGAGGCGGAACUGGACAGAGCUCCUGGACCAGGCAAAUAGGAGCAAAGUUUUCGCGGCAUUCAUGGAGAUGCCCCAGCCACAGAGCCCACGGAAGAUCAGAGACACUGGACUCACACCACGGAGGGUCGGAACUCUUCUGCUGUGAAUCCCACCCAGAGAACAGAAGAGGAAGGGAACACCUGAAGGUGGAGUGGGGCUCCCGGAGCUAAUCUCUUCCGGACUCAGGUCACUGCAACCAAGGGCGGAGUAACCCGGGUGAGGCCGCCAGCCGGGAGGCUGAGAGAAGGGGUGGCCCAGCGGUCCCGGCGCCCCUAGACCGGCCGUCCGCCCCUGCUGUGACUCCACGCUUUCUUGGAGCCGGAUUCUUGCAUAUCUGUGGCUGCUUUGAGCGUCUCCAGGCCAGCGGCUCGUACAGCCAAGCGUGAAUAAGAAUAAGGGAGAUACUUAGCGUGGGGCUAGAGAACGGCUUCGUGGCUAAGAAGAGUAUGCACUGCUCUUCUAGGGGACUUGAGUUUUAUUUCCAGCAACAACAUCAAGCUUCUCCCUGCUGUCUAGAACUCCUUUCUGAAACUUCUUAACUCACAGGUACAUGUACAGGACAUGAACACUAUUAAAAUUAAACA
This 634-nucleotide long non-coding RNA is filed under the name Mus pahari (shrew mouse). Its description in RNAcentral is "lncRNA (MGP_PahariEiJ_G0003838.1)". Lineage: Eukaryota; Metazoa; Chordata; Mammalia; Rodentia; Muridae. The record is from RNAcentral.